GCCCUCAUAGCUCAGGUGGAUAGAGCGACUGCCUCCUAAGCAGUAGGUCCCAGGUUCGAGUCCUGGUGAGGGCG
RNAcentral lists this transfer RNA (74 nucleotides) under Gemmatimonadota bacterium. RNAcentral describes it as "Gemmatimonadetes bacterium (hydrothermal vent metagenome) tRNA-Arg". It matches the Rfam family "tRNA". From Rfam's summary of the family: Transfer RNA (tRNA) molecules are approximately 80 nucleotides in length. Their secondary structure includes four short double-helical elements and three loops (D, anti-codon, and T loops). Further hydrogen bonds mediate the characteristic L-shaped molecular structure. tRNAs have two regions of fundamental functional importance: the anti-codon, which is responsible for specific mRNA codon recognition, and the 3' end, to which the tRNAs corresponding amino acid is attached (by aminoacyl-tRNA synthetases). tRNAs cope with the degeneracy of the genetic code in two manners: having more than one tRNA (with a specific anti-codon) for a particular amino acid; and 'wobble' base-pairing, i.e. permitting non-standard base-pairing at the 3rd anti-codon position. The record is from RNAcentral. Lineage: Bacteria; Pseudomonadati; Gemmatimonadota.